AUUGAACGCUGGCGGCAUGCCUUACACAUGCAAGUCGAACGGUAACAGGUCUUCGGAUGCUGACGAGUGGCGAACGGGUGAGUAAUGCAUCGGAACGUGCCCAGUUGUGGGGGAUAACUGCUCAAAAGAGCAGCUAAUACCGCAUACGACCUGAGGGUGAAAGCGGGGGAUCGCAAGACCUCGCGCAAUUGGAGCGGCCGAUGUCAGAUUAGGUAGUUGGUGGGGUAAAGGCCUACCAAGCCGACGAUCUGUAGUUGGUCUGAGAGGACGACCAGCCACACUGGGACUGGGACACGGCCCAGACUCCUACGGGAGGCAGCAGUGGGGAAUUUUGGACAAUGGGCGCAAGCCUGAUCCAGCAAUGCCGCGUGCAGGAAGAAGGCCUUCGGGUUGUAAACUGCUUUUGUCAGGGAAGAAAUCCUCUGGGUUAAUACCCCGGGGGGAUGACGGUACCUGAAGAAUAAGCACCGGCUAACUACGUGCCAGCAGCCGCCGUAA
Molecule: ribosomal RNA, 498 nt
Filed under: uncultured bacterium
Lineage: Bacteria
Description: partial 16S ribosomal RNA
Rfam family: Bacterial small subunit ribosomal RNA
Source: RNAcentral